ACAUUCACGUAAUUGGCAAAUCUGGAAGGCACUUCCCGGUCAGAGCCAAGUUCAAGGUGGCAGAAGAAACAGUGUGGGUGACCAGAGGCUAUAAAAGACAAUGAAACCAGAGAUCAGGUUUUUUGGGGGGAGCAAGUAGAAGAAGAGGCCAAAGGAGCCACCUCAAUAACAAAGGAGGGGCUGGCCCCGUGGCGCACUCGGGAGAGUGGGGCUUCGGAUUCUAUAUAGAAAUGACCGGUCUGCUCACUGGCUGAGCAUGGUGCGGCCGGUCACGGAAAAAAGAAAAAUAAUAAUAAUAAUAAUAACAAAGGAGGCCUGCAGGCUUGGCAUGCAGCAGGCUUUUAGAGGGUCCAACACCAAGCAGAGUCUUUGUCUCAGCAGCAGUCACACUGUGUGUGCCUCAGAUCCUUUGAUAUGUGUAACACCAUCUGAUUACAGCAGGCUGGUAUCCUAGAAAUAGAACCCAAGGCCUGAGAAAUGGGUCAUUCUGUCUGCUCAGGUCAGGGUGAUAUGUGAAUGCAGCACAAAUACUAAGAAAUAAGGGCUGUAGAUUGGAAGAAUGGAAUAAAAGGGAUCAGCACUUAGCACCUAAUAAAAACAUCAGUGACAGCCACCUGAAGCAAAAUCACUGUUUUCCUUUGAAUAUGAAUUGAGUUUUCUUAAUAGCAUUUCCUAUUUUCAAAAAUG
Long non-coding RNA from Galeopterus variegatus (Sunda flying lemur), 687 nucleotides. RefSeq lists it as uncharacterized. The transcript is spliced from 2 exons. The record is from RefSeq and is a predicted model, not a curated record. NCBI's taxonomy places the organism in Eukaryota, Metazoa, Chordata, Mammalia, Dermoptera, Cynocephalidae.